UUUACGGAGAGUUUGAUUCUGGCUCAGGACGAACGCUGGCGGCGUGCUUAACACAUGCAAGUCGAACGGUGAUGGCCAGCUUGCUGGUCUGAUCAGUGGCGAACGGGUGAGUAACACGUGAGCAACCUGCCCCUGACUCUGGGAUAACGACCGGAAACGGUCGCUAAUACCGGAUAUGAGACGUACAGGCAUCUGUUGCGUCUGGAAAGUUUUUCGGUCAGGGAUGGGCUCGCGGCCUAUCAGCUUGUUGGUGGGGUAACGGCCUACCAAGGCGACGACGGGUAGCCGGCCUGAGAGGGCGACCGGCCACACUGGGACUGAGACACGGCCCAGACUCCUACGGGAGGCAGCAGUGGGGAAUAUUGCACAAUGGGCGCAAGCCUGAUGCAGCGACGCCGCGUGAGGGAUGACGGCCUUCGGGUUGUAAACCUCUUUCAGCAGGGAAGAAGCGCAAGUGACGGUACCUGCAGAAGAAGCGCCGGCUAACUACGUGCCAGCAGCCGCGGUAAUACGUAGGGCGCAAGCGUUGUCCGGAAUUAUUGGGCGUAAAGAGCUCGUAGGCGGUCUGUCGCGUCUGCUGUGAAAACCUCAGGCUCAACCUGGGGCUUGCAGUGGGUACGGGCAGACUAGAGUGCGGUAGGGGUG
Molecule: ribosomal RNA, 645 nt
Filed under: Cellulomonas septica
Lineage: Bacteria; Bacillati; Actinomycetota; Actinomycetes; Micrococcales; Cellulomonadaceae
Description: bacterial SSU rRNA
Rfam family: Bacterial small subunit ribosomal RNA
Source: RNAcentral